AUGAGCAACAGUAAUUUGGGACAAUUGUAUGUCGCAAAUUAUGGUGCCGCUGAAGCAUCAGUAUGGGUCCUUGAAGAUUCUAGUAGUGAAGAUUAUUGGACUUUGAAGCACAAUGCAAGCUGCUUGCAACUGUUCGGUUCAAGGAGGAAGGAACCUUACAGUGUUAUCUCAGCCUACCCAGAAGACGAUGUGCUAUUCAUAAUUGUCAAAACUACAUUACGGGGGUACCGAUUACAGAUGAAAUUAUUUUCAUACGAAAUUGAUUCUAAGGAGCUGCGUUUCAUAUGUGAUCUUGGACGGACUUCCAGGUGCCCUUAUCUUUCAUAUGUUCCUGUGUUCUCGUAG
This 345-nucleotide ribosomal RNA is filed under the name Triticum aestivum (bread wheat). Its description in RNAcentral is "partial small subunit ribosomal RNA". Lineage: Eukaryota; Viridiplantae; Streptophyta; Magnoliopsida; Poales; Poaceae. The record is from RNAcentral.